Molecule: ribosomal RNA, 933 nt
Filed under: Arthrobacter sp. OVC19
Lineage: Bacteria; Bacillati; Actinomycetota; Actinomycetes; Micrococcales; Micrococcaceae
Description: bacterial SSU rRNA
Rfam family: Bacterial small subunit ribosomal RNA
Source: RNAcentral
CAUGCACGUCGAACGAUGAAGCCCAGCUUGCUGGGUGGAUUAGUGGCGAACGGGUGAGUAACACGUGAGUAACCUGCCCCCGACUCUGGGAUAAGCCCGGGAAACUGGGUCUAAUACCGGAUAUGACCUCGCACCGCAUGGUGCGGGGUGGAAAGAUUUAUCGGUGGGGGAUGGACUCGCGGCCUAUCAGCUUGUUGGUGAGGUAAUGGCUCACCAAGGCGACGACGGGUAGCCGGCCUGAGAGGGUGACCGGCCACACUGGGACUGAGACACGGCCCAGACUCCUACGGGAGGCAGCAGUGGGGAAUAUUGCACAAUGGGCGCAAGCCUGAUGCAGCGACGCCGCGUGAGGGAUGACGGCCUUCGGGUUGUAAACCUCUUUCAGUAGGGAAGAAGCGAAAGUGACGGUACCUGCAGAAGAAGCGCCGGCUAACUACGUGCCAGCAGCCGCGGUAAUACGUAGGGCGCAAGCGUUAUCCGGAUUUAUUGGGCGUAAAGAGCUCGUAGGCGGUUUGUCGCGUCUGCCGUGAAAGUCCGAGGCUCAACCUCGGAUCUGCGGUGGGUACGGGCAGACUAGAGUGAUGUAGGGGAGACUGGAAUUCCUGGUGUAGCGGUGAAAUGCGCAGAUAUCAGGAGGAACACCGAUGGCGAAGGCAGGUCUCUGGGCAUUUACUGACGCUGAGGAGCGAAAGCAUGUGGAGCGAAUAGGAUUAGAUACCCUGGUAGUCCAUGCCGUAAACGUUGGGCACUAGGUGUGGGGGACAUUCCACGUUUUCCGCGCCGUACCUAACGCAUUAAGUGCCCCGCCUGGGGAGUACGGCCGCAAGGCUAAAACUCAAUGGAAUUGACGGGGGACCCGCACAAGCGGCGGAGCAUGCGGAUUAAUUCGAUGCAACGCGAAGAACCUUACCAAGGCUUGACAUGUGCCAGACC